AUAUAUAAAUCAAACUAGAUCAGUGAUUUGUCGAUAUAAGUGAAUAUAAUUAAAG
RNAcentral lists this non-coding RNA (55 nucleotides) under Trypanosoma brucei brucei. The record is from RNAcentral. Lineage: Eukaryota; Euglenozoa; Kinetoplastea; Trypanosomatida; Trypanosomatidae.